Molecule: long non-coding RNA, 697 nt
Organism: Poecilia latipinna (sailfin molly)
Lineage: Eukaryota; Metazoa; Chordata; Actinopteri; Cyprinodontiformes; Poeciliidae
Exons: 2
Source: RefSeq, a predicted model, not a curated record
AAAGACUAUAAUAACUGUAAUAAUGAUUAUUAUAAUGAAUAUGGUUAAAAUUAUGUAUUCUUUGACAAAUCUAAUAAAACAAAAUAAAUCAAGUAAAGAUUUAUUAACAUACUAAAAUCUGAUCUUUGCAGUAAAUACUUGAUACUCAGAUUAUUUUGCUUAGAAUUUUAUAGGUUAGGAAACAAUAUGUUUUUGCUGCGCAAUUUAAAUAAACAAAGUGGUCAGGCAUCGCACGGACAGCUAUGUGGGGGUCUUUUAUCGUCACCAUGGAAACUGUUCUACAACGUUCAGUCUUUGGGCACAACCCCCUGAACAGAGCAAACACAAAACAUAUAAAGCUAACAAACUUUUUAAAAUAUAUACAAUGCACUUAAAUUGUAAGACUGUUAAUCUUCCUCUUUCACCAAAGUCGUAAAAACAAAAGUGAUUUGCUUAUUCCGAAACAACAACCUGAUGUUUCCUUCUUUUCUUUCAUUUAAUUUUACCAACACAAAACCAUACUUUACAAAAAAGGCUUUGUCCAGGAGACUGGAACAGAAUUUUCCUUAAGAAGAAAGAUAAAGAAAAGAAGUUGGUUGUUAAUGAGCUUACAGGUUCAGGAACUGAAACCUGAGGUUUACUGCAACAUCUUCAGUUGUGUAGUCAGUGCUCUCAGACUGUACAAGCCUCUUCUUCCUGUCGUCAUAAAAUGAAUAUG